RNAcentral lists this ribosomal RNA (1395 nucleotides) under uncultured bacterium. RNAcentral describes it as "bacterial SSU rRNA". It matches the Rfam family "Bacterial small subunit ribosomal RNA". The record is from RNAcentral.
AGAGUUUGAUCCUGGCUCAGAUUGAUUUCUGGCGGCAGGCCUAACACAUGCAAGUCGAGCGGUAGAGAGAAGCUUGCUUCUCUUGAGAGCGGCGGACGGGUGAGUAAUGCCUAGGAAUCUGCCUGGUAGUGGGGGAUAACGUUCGGAAACGGACGCUAAUACCGCAUACGUCCUACGGGAGAAAGCAGGGGACCUUCGGGCCUUGCGCUAUCAGAUGAGCCUAGGUCGGAUUAGCUAGUUGGUGAGGUAAUGGCUCACCAAGGCGACGAUCCGUAACUGGUCUGAGAGGAUGAUCAGUCACACUGGAACUGAGACACGGUCCAGACUCCUACGGGAGGCAGCAGUGGGGAAUAUUGGACAAUGGGCGAAAGCCUGAUCCAGCCAUGCCGCGUGUGUGAAGAAGGUCUUCGGAUUGUAAAGCACUUUAAGUUGGGAGGAAGGGCAGUAAAUUAAUACUUUGCUGUUUUGACGUUACCGACAGAAUAAGCACCGGCUAACUCUGUGCCAGCAGCCGCGGUAAUACAGAGGGUGCAAGCGUUAAUCGGAAUUACUGGGCGUAAAGCGCGCGUAGGUGGUUUGUUAAGUUGGAUGUGAAAUCCCCGGGCUCAACCUGGGAACUGCAUUCAAAACUGACUGACUAGAGUAUGGUAGAGGGUGGUGGAAUUUCCUGUGUAGCGGUGAAAUGCGUAGAUAUAGGAAGGAACACCAGUGGCGAAGGCGACCACCUGGACUAAUACUGACACUGAGGUGCGAAAGCGUGGGGAGUAAACAGGAUUAGAUACCCUGGUAGUCCACGCCGUAAACGAUGUCAACUAGCCGUUGGAAGCCUUGAGCUUUUAGUGGCGCAGCUAACGCAUUAAGUUGACCGCCUGGGGAGUACGGCCGCAAGGUUAAAACUCAAAUGAAUUGACGGGGGCCCGCACAAGCGGUGGAGCAUGUGGUUUAAUUCGAAGCAACGCGAAGAACCUUACCAGGCCUUGACAUCCAAUGAACUUUCUAGAGAUAGAUUGGUGCCUUCGGGAACAUUGAGACAGGUGCUGCAUGGCUGUCGUCAGCUCGUGUCGUGAGAUGUUGGGUUAAGUCCCGUAACGAGCGCAACCCUUGUCCUUAGUUACCAGCACGUAAUGGUGGGCACUCUAAGGAGACUGCCGGUGACAAACCGGAGGAAGGUGGGGAUGACGUCAAGUCAUCAUGGCCCUUACGGCCUGGGCUACACACGUGCUACAAUGGUCGGUACAGAGGGUUGCCAAGCCGCGAGGUGGAGCUAAUCCCAUAAAACCGAUCGUAGUCCGGAUCGCAGUCUGCAACUCGACUGCGUGAAGUCGGAAUCGCUAGUAAUCGCGAAUCAGAAUGUCGCGGUGAAUACGUUCCCGGGCCUUGCACAAAACGCCCGUC